This 442-nucleotide ribosomal RNA is filed under the name uncultured bacterium. Its description in RNAcentral is "bacterial SSU rRNA". It matches the Rfam family "Bacterial small subunit ribosomal RNA", at positions 354 to 796 of the family's 1533-position model. The record is from RNAcentral.
GUGGGGAAUAUUGCGCAAUGGCCGAAAGGCUGACGCAGCGACGCCGCGUGGGGGAUGAAGCAUUUCGGUGUGUAAACCCCUGUUGCCCGGGACGAACAACUGGUUUUGACCAGUCUGACGGUACCGGGUGAGGAAGCACCGGCUAACUCCGUGCCAGCAGCCGCGGUAAUACGGAGGGUGCGAGCGUUGUCCGGAAUCACUGGGCGUAAAGGGCGCGUAGGCGGUCUGCUAAGCGUGCGGUGAAAGCCUGGGGCUCAACCCCAGGUCGGCCGUGCGAACUGGUGGACUUGAGCACUGUAGAGGCAGGUGGAAUUCCGGGUGUAGCGGUGGAAUGCGUAGAGAUCCGGAAGAACACCGGUGGCGAAGGCGGCCUGCUGGGCAGUAGCUGACGCUGAGGCGCGACAGCGUGGGGAGCAAACAGGAUUAGAUACCCGAGUAGUCC